GUAAGGAAUAUUGGACAAUGGACGCAAGUCUGAUCCAGCCAUGCCGCGUGAAGGAUUAAGGUCCUCUGGAUUGUAAACUUCUUUUAUAAGGGACGAAAAAAGGCUUUUCUAAGUCGUCUGACGGUACCUUAUGAAUAAGCACCGGCUCACUCCGUGCCAGCAGCCGCGGUAAUACGGAGGGUGCAAGCGUUAUCCGGAUUCACUGGGUUUAAAGGCUGCGUAGGCGGGCAGGUAAGUCAGUGGUGAAAUCCUAGAGCUUAACUCUAGAACUGCCAUUGAUACUAUCUGUCUUGAAUAUUGUGGAGGUAAGCGGAAUAUGUCAUGUAGCGGUGAAAUGCUUAGAUAUGACAUAGAACACCUAUUGCGAAGGCAGCUUACUACGCAUAUAUUGACGCUGAGGCACGAAAGCGUGGGGAUCAAACAGGAUUAGAUACCCCGGUAGUCC
RNAcentral lists this ribosomal RNA (445 nucleotides) under uncultured bacterium. Its description in RNAcentral is "bacterial SSU rRNA". It matches the Rfam family "Bacterial small subunit ribosomal RNA", at positions 354 to 796 of the family's 1533-position model. The record is from RNAcentral.